UGGGGAAUAUUGGACAAUGGGCGCAAGCCUGAUCCAGCCAUGCCGCGUGUGUGAAGAAGGCCUUUUGGUUGUAAAGCACUUUAAGCGAGGAGGAGGCUACUUGGAUUAAUACUCUAGGAUAGUGGACGUUACUCGCAGAAUAAGCACCGGCUAACUCUGUGACAGCAGCCGCGGUAAUACAGAGGGUGCGAGCGUUAAUCGGAUUUACUGGGCGUAAAGCGUGCGUAGGCGGCUUCUUAAGUCGGAUGUGAAAUCCCUGAGCUUAACUUAGGAAUUGCAUUCGAUACUGGGAAGCUAGAGUAUGGUAGAGGAUGGUAGAAUUCCAGGUGUAGCGGUGAAAUGCGUAGAGAUCUGGAGGAAUACCGAUGGCGAAGGCAGCCAUCUGGCCUAAUACUGGCGCUGAGGUACGAAAGCAGGGGGAGCAAACAGG
This 430-nucleotide ribosomal RNA is filed under the name bacterium. Its description in RNAcentral is "partial 16S ribosomal RNA". It matches the Rfam family "Bacterial small subunit ribosomal RNA", at positions 355 to 776 of the family's 1533-position model. The record is from RNAcentral.